CACACCGCCGUCACACCAUGGGAGUUGGUUCUACCGAAGGCGGUGCGCUAACAGCAAUGGAGGCAGCCGACCACGGUAGGGUCAGCGACUGGGGUG
This 96-nucleotide ribosomal RNA is filed under the name uncultured bacterium. Its description in RNAcentral is "partial 16S ribosomal RNA". The record is from RNAcentral.